This 304-nucleotide ribosomal RNA is filed under the name uncultured bacterium. Its description in RNAcentral is "partial 16S ribosomal RNA". It matches the Rfam family "Bacterial small subunit ribosomal RNA", at positions 506 to 807 of the family's 1533-position model. The record is from RNAcentral.
CAGCAGUCGCCACGGUAAUACGUAGGGCGCAAGCGUUAUCCGGAAUUAUUGGGCGUAAAGAGCUCGUAGGCGGUUUGUCGCGUCUGCCGUGAAAGUCCGGGGCUCAACCCCGGAUCUGCGGUGGGUACGGGCAGACUAGAGUGAUGUAGGGGAGACUGGAAUUCCUGGUGUAGCGGUGAAAUGCGCAGAUAUCAGGAGGAACACCGAUGGCGAAGGCAGGUCUCUGGGCAUUAACUGACGCUGAGGAGCGAAAGCAUGGGGAGCGAACAGGAUUAGAUACCCCGGUAGUCCCUGUCUCUUAUAC